Callithrix jacchus (white-tufted-ear marmoset) is the source of this 2900-nucleotide non-coding RNA. Lineage: Eukaryota; Metazoa; Chordata; Mammalia; Primates; Cebidae. The record is from RefSeq and is a predicted model, not a curated record.
UCUAAUUCCGUUAUUGCAACUGCAGACGGUUAACUGGCACAACGGCUGCUAACCUCCCUCACUCUUGUAAAGUCUGAGCUACAGGCAGUGCCUUUGGCUCUGAGCUCCGGCAUGCUAAACUCUGUUUCGGCAAUUAAGUGCUGUGGGGUGUUGAUCAAGUUCUUCUUAACUAUUCUCCUUUAAGCUGAUUUCUUCCCACAAGAUUCUCCUUUGUUCCUCUAUGGAUCCUUACACCCCCAGCCAAGACCCAGCUCACUGGCUCAGACCCAUGCUGUCUUCCCCACAUUCCCUGCAGUCCAGAGCCAGAACCAGGCUCCAGAGGACAGGACUUCAAAUCUGCAUACAUCAUGAGAUAUAUCAUUCUAACCUCUCUCCAUUUUAUUCUCAUUUCCAUUUCUACAUGUCCAGUUAAGGGUCUAUAAUGCAACUCAGAUGAAUCUUGAGGCCAGGGUAUAUGAGAGAGCAUUUUCUGAAUUAACUUUGAGAAAAGUGACUCCAGGACCUGCUUUAUGCUACACAAGAUGACAGACAAGCAUCUGUCUACAGGACAGUCUUUGCUUCGGUUCAGCCCAAUUGAUAACAGAGAGAGAUUUCACUGAAGUUGUCAGAGAGAAGACUGAAAUCCAUGAAACCACAGGAAACAAAGCCGAUAAUGAGAUAAAUGGGGAAAGGAAAGAAAAUAAUGGGAAACUGGGUUGUUCCAUUUUGUAUCUCUAAAUCCCGCUGCCAUGUAGUAAACACCUGGUGAGAUUUCAGUUUAGAUGCAUGCCUUGAACUCACACCUUGAGAUUCUCACUGACAUGAUCUGGGAUGUGGUUUGGGUGUCUGUAGUUUUAAAAUGCUCCCACGUGAUUCUGAUAUGUGGCUGAAGAUGAGGAAGACAACUGGUCUUCUACGACCUCAGGUUGCCAACAUGGAAGUGUUCCAUAUGCGUGGCUACUCCGAAGAAGAGGCUGAGCAUCCAUCAGCAUUUGAUGGGAUCUGUAUUCCCCUCGCAAUGGUACUGUUCAUAUAGCACAGAAAAAAAUCAGACAGGAAACCAAGAAAAUUAAGAGAAUAGACCUUUAGCCUCUGCUCCUAAUGGUGAGUGUGGCAUCUAUAUGUGAGGGCAUCAAGAGCAGGGAGUACCCUGGUGAGAGGAACAUCCUGCUUCCUGGGGCACAGGCUCUUACUCUAAAGAGGAAGAACAACGACAUAUUAGACAUUGUGGAGGUCACAGGGUAGCUUGGGGAGAAGGGAUCCUGGGCCAGACUCUUGGGCUCCAUCCAUUGCUGAGCUUCUCUGUGCCUCAGUUUCCUCAUCUGUUCUUUGGGUAUUAUAAUAAUACCUACCUCUGUAAAUUGCUACCUCUGUAAAUGACUGUUUCUUCUAAAGCACCUAGAACAAUACUUGGCACAGAGUAAACACUAUUCAUUCUUUAUUCUACUAUUUCUAACUUAAUUCAAACUUUAUUAGUAUUUGGCCAUAUUUCUUUUAUGAUUUCAGGGUCCAAUGCCUCAUAUUUUAUGCAAUUAUAUUCAGAUACGAUUUUUCAAAUCUUUGACAAAUUUGUGCUUGAAAUUCCCAGUUCCAGGGAAUCUGUGAGUCCCACAGUCCUAAGGGCAUUUCCUACUGUCCAGAAUAUCAGUACUUCAUGCCCUCAUUGAGUGUGUUGCCAGAGAGGCUGCAAGACUUGGGAAUGUGGCCCAAAACUAAGAGUCAGACCUUGGGGGCUGUGAAUUCUGACUCUGUCUCAUUCCAGGUGUUACUUGAUGUGCCACUGAGUUUCUUUUUCCCCAUCUCUAGGUUGGAGAGUGUCAGAUGCCAGCGAGUUGGGAGGUUGAUAACUAAAAAUGAGGAAAUCCCUCAGUGGAGCCUGAUAGUGCAGAUGCUUUGGUCCUUGGGAUGGACACUGCCACCUGCCAUGUAGGCAGUGACCACAACAGCCUGUCCAGCCUUCCACUGAGGCAGGCAUGACUUUCUUUUCUCAGACUGUGAUGACUACAAAGAGCACAUCAAGUCUCUGCAAAAGACAUAUUUCAAAUCAGAGCGCAGACCAUUUAUAAGGAGUUCACAGAAAUUGAGGAGCUCAGGCAAUAUAAAGCCCUGGCUAUCAGGCAGAGCAGCUGACAAAGUUACAGAAGGAGUUACAAAAAUGAAGAGAUGCCUCCACCACACUGAAUAAAAAUUUCAAGCCCCCCCCCACUCCUGAUUACCUGGACAAGUCCCAGGGUCAGGACCUCCAAGAGCAGCUGGCUAAGGGGCUCAGGCUGACCGAGCAUUAUGUCAACAAGCUCAGCCCAGCCAUGACAUGACCAGGACUUCCUGGACAGAAACUGAGAUGGAAAACCCAUGGGGUCGGAGGUCACAGGAUGGCAAAUGUCUCCUCAUUUCUUGCUGGAACGUGGUCUUUGGGGCAAGAGGCAGCAUCUGUCCAGUUUUAAAGGACAGGAAGGAGGUUGUGACAGGAGGCAGCUUGUCAGAGUCAAAAGAGUCCUGGACUAAGAAUGAGGAUUCCAGGCUCUAUCUUCAGCAGUGUCUUUGGCAACUAAAAUGAUAAAUAUCAUCAAGAUAAUAAGAUGAGGAGGUCGAGAAAGCAGAGAAAUCAGCUGCCUCCAGGUAACACUGAAUAACCAGGAGCGGGUAAUGGGUGGUGAAAUCUGGAAAAGGUCUCAGAAAGAACGUAAGUUAGGUGAAAGGUCAGGUGGACUGACCAAACUCAGGGGUUUCCGAUCUCACCUGUUGUCUGCCUCUUUGGCAUUACCAUGUAUGCAAGUAUUUGCUAGCAGGAAAGUGAAUGAAAACUCAUAUUAUGCUCACAGUUUUGAGAACAAGCGAGGUUGAGGAUACAGGAACUGUUUCUGUGAAGAUGCAAGAACCUGCAUUCAUUUGGCCUCUGAUGCUAAUUUCAACAAAAUGUG